This 332-nucleotide small RNA is filed under the name Arabidopsis thaliana (thale cress). Its description in RNAcentral is "ATSL151320". Lineage: Eukaryota; Viridiplantae; Streptophyta; Magnoliopsida; Brassicales; Brassicaceae. The record is from RNAcentral.
AAAAAUCGUUCUAAUAAUUGUACGUCCUAGCAUAUCAUCGUCCUCUCUAUAAUCUAUAUGUUCCAACCACCUAAAUAUAUCAAAACCUUUUUAAAAAAGUCUCUUCCCAAUAUCUACAUAUACAUUUUUGCAGCCAUUUUGUAAAAUAAAUCAUGUAGUUGGGACUUAUUUACAAUGGCUGCCACUGGAUUUUAAUAUUUGUUUUUGAUAAUUAGAAAAAAAAUCUUCGAAUUAAAUAUUUGACAUUUAACAAUCUUCCUUAAAUCUCUCCACAUUAACUACACGAUUAGUUAUUAAAAUAAAACUUCCAAAAUAUUUAAUAUCAUUUAAUU